AAAUGCUUACCCCUUCCUCUAUCCCCUGGAGAUCUAAAUCAGUAAAUCUUCCCUCCUUCCAGAUAUAUGUCACCUGUUAUCAUUGCAUUUGUUUUCCUUGGAGAAUGCCUUGUUCACCAUCACUACAGAGCCUCUAUCCACCGAGCCUUUUCCAGUGAUUGUACAAAGUAAAGAAACUGAGAUACAGAGAAGCUAUGCAACUUAGCCAAGGUCACGCUGAGAAAAAAGAGUUCUUUCUCUGGAGGUGGACAUAGGCACGUCAUCCUUCAAACUAUUUCUGCUGUGUAUAAUAUUCUUUUGGUUCUGCUCAUUCCACUCUCAAAUUUCAGCUAUUUGGGGAUGGACCUUUCCAUUUAUUGGAUCAUUAACAUCAUCAAGACACUACUGGAUCCUUUUGCAACCAUUAACUGUAUUGGCUUUAAUAUUGGGUCAACUGAUUCCUCUUAGGCCUCAAAGGAGCUGCAACCCAAGCCAACUUUAUUUUAAGAAGCUGGUUGCUUCAUCAAAAAAGAAAAAAAAAGACAUGUGCAAAUGUCCCCAAAGGAACUGGAAUUGGUGAUUUUGUGUGAAGGGAUUAAAGAAGCUGGCUGCAGUUGUGCCAUUUUAAUAGGAUGCUGCCACGUAUGAGAUGUAGACACUCUUAAUGUUUUAUUAGAUUGGAAUAAUUUCUGGCAUUUAAACAUUUUGAUGAAAUUUGUUAAAUUUUUGAGGUGUUUUUAUAUGAAAAAAAUAAAAUGUUUUUUGGCAAUUCUAGUAAAGAGGCA
This 764-nucleotide long non-coding RNA is filed under the name Monodelphis domestica (gray short-tailed opossum). RNAcentral describes it as "lncRNA (ENSMODG00000041769.1)". The record is from RNAcentral. Lineage: Eukaryota; Metazoa; Chordata; Mammalia; Didelphimorphia; Didelphidae.